UCUUAAAAAUUAUUCUGAUGCUAGUGCAAACAUGUAGUUUCAUGGCAACCUUAAAGAUCAAAGAAUCUGACAGGACUGUUACCAAGUGAGUUCUACCUGGACUGAACCUACAGUGAGCUCAGUUAAGCUUGUCCCGGCUCUCUGCAUCCGGAUGUGGACUGACGUGGAAUUCUGGACACGCGGUGCUUCCUCUCCUAUGAUGGCCUUGCUUACGGGGACCCGACGACUGACGUGGCGUGCCGUGAUUGGCAGCGGGGAUUCUCUUGGGCCCCGGUCACGUGGCAGCGGAUAAGGAAGGGUGGAGCCGACGAGACGGAACCGAGCCCAUCCAACCGUUCUGGUACGGUUGGUAGAGAGCUUGAGAUUGACGUUGCGUUCUUAUUUUGUCAGCUCGUUUUGUUUUUUUACUGGGAUUUUUCAGUUUUUCUGGAAUCGCAUUGUGAGACCGAUUAUUCAUGCUAUUGUAGCUGUAUGCUCUUUUAGCUUACUGGCUUGUCAAUGACGCUGAAACGUUGGAUGGUUCUGGAGGAAACACACAGGUAAAAUAGGUUCAGUGUUGCAAACAAGGUCUAAAGCAUGCUACGCCGACUAAGCGAUUCGCAAGCGUGUCCAUGUUUUUAGGGUGUCCUCAUCGAGCAGGGUACCCAUUCUGCAAGAAAACAUUUGAUCAUGUUUUCCCCGCAAA
Long non-coding RNA from Brachypodium distachyon (stiff brome), 685 nucleotides. RefSeq lists it as uncharacterized. The transcript has 2 exons. NCBI's taxonomy places the organism in Eukaryota, Viridiplantae, Streptophyta, Magnoliopsida, Poales, Poaceae. The record is from RefSeq and is a predicted model, not a curated record.